CGCAGGGGAAGAGCCUCUCAUCAUUGUGAACGUGACGCUGGUGGAUCUUCAGGUUGCAUCGGUUGACGAAGGUCUGCUGACAGACGUCGCAGCGGAACGUGGUGUCCGUCUGGACUCCGUGGCUGACUUUCAAGUGUUUCAGACUGGACCCAGGAGGAUCCUGGGAAAUGGAGUUUUUUAAAAUGACUGGAUGCCUGAAUCAGAAUGAGCUUUUGACUGGUGGCAUUCUCAUGCUGGAGGGUCAUGUCAGGAUGAGCCUGCAGGAAGGGUACUACAUGAGGGAGGAGGAUGCCUUGCCUGCAAUGACAACAAGCUCAGUCCGAUGAUGCUGUGACACAUCGCCCUAGACCAUGACGGACCCUCCACCUCCAAAUCGAUCCCGCUCCAGAGUACAGGUCUCUGUGUAACGCUCAUUCCUUCGACGAUAAAUGCGAGUUCAACCAUCACCCCUGGUGAGACAAAACCGUGACUUGUCAAUGAAGAGCACUUUUUGCCAGUCUUGUCUGUUCCAGCAAAGGUGGGUUUGUGCCCAUAGGCGACGUUGUUGCCGGUGAUGUCUGGUAAGGACCUGCCCUACAACAGGCCUACAAGCCCUCAGUCCAGCCUCUCUCAGCCUAUUGCGGACAGUCUGAUCACUGAUGGAGGGAUUGUGCGUUCCUGGUGUAACUCGGGCAGUUGUUGUUGCCAUCCUGAACCUGUCCCGCAGGUGUGAUAUUCAGAUGUACCAAUCCUGUGCAGGUGUUACACGUGGUCUGCCACUGCGAGGACGAUCAGCUGUCCUUCCUGUCUCCCUGUAGUGCUGUCUUAGGCGUCUCGCAGUAUGGACAUUGCAAUUUAUUGCCCUGGCCACAUCUGCAGUCCUCAUGCCUCCAUGCAGCAUGCCUAAGGCACGUUCACGCGGAUGAGCAGGGACCCUGGGCAUCUUUCUUUUGGUGUUUUUCAGAGUCAGUAGAAAGGUCUCUUUAGUGUCCUAAGUUUUUAUAACUCUGACCUUAAUUGCCUACAGGUGCAUGUUCAUUAAUUGUUUAUGGUUCAUUGAACAAGCAUGGAAAACAUUGUUUAAACCCUUUACAAUAAAGAUAU
This is a long non-coding RNA of Myxocyprinus asiaticus (Chinese sucker), 1083 nucleotides long. RefSeq lists it as uncharacterized. NCBI's taxonomy places the organism in Eukaryota, Metazoa, Chordata, Actinopteri, Cypriniformes, Catostomidae. The transcript has 3 exons. The record is from RefSeq and is a predicted model, not a curated record.